UAAUGAGGACUGCCGGUGGACAAACCCGGAGGAAGGUGGGGAUGACGUCAAGUCCUCAUGGCCCUUAUAGUGGGGCUACACACGUCAUACAAUGGAUGGUACAAAGGGUCGCCAACCGCGAGGGGGAGCCAAUCCCAUAAAGCCAUUCGUAGUCCGGAUCGCAGUCUGCAACUCGACUGCGUGAAGUCGGAAUCGCUAGUAAUCGUGGAUCAGAAUGUCACGGUGAAUACGUUCCCGGGUCUU
RNAcentral lists this ribosomal RNA (243 nucleotides) under uncultured Polaromonas sp. Its description in RNAcentral is "partial 16S ribosomal RNA". It matches the Rfam family "Bacterial small subunit ribosomal RNA", at positions 1140 to 1382 of the family's 1533-position model. Lineage: Bacteria; Pseudomonadati; Pseudomonadota; Betaproteobacteria; Burkholderiales; Comamonadaceae. The record is from RNAcentral.